GGUAUAGAAAAGAAGAAAGUGCAGGAAAUGCCUGUAUCAUCAGGAGUCAGUUUCACGAAGGCCCCUGUAAAUGCUACUCUGAAACCAAGGAUCAAGAGAAGGUAGAAACAAGUUACAUUGUCCCAGCUCACCAUUAAGCCCCCUAUGUAUCUCUCCUAUCUUGGAGGUGACUUGGAAGAUUGUGAUGGAUGUGAAAUUAGAGAGGAGAAUUACGUUGUAAGCUAGAUAUUUGAAUUGUGUCCUCUUGGGUGCUUUUCAGCUUUUGUCUCAUCAUGGCACACAUAGAAAAUUAGAGUAUUUUUUAUUUCAUGUGCCAUGCUGGAGUAAAGGAGGAGGAUGCUUGGUCCAGGGAUGGAGGGGUCAGUAUCUCAAGCACCCUGUAAGCCAUCUGUGACACAGCAGUGUGCCCUGAUGCCUCAACUAUGUCCAACCCUUGCCUAACCUUGGAACUGUGAGAUAUUCAUGGAUGCUUCCAAUAAAUUCCACAUUUUUCUUAAUUGGGUUUGGGAUGAGCUUCUUUCACUCUGUCACCAAGAAUGCAAGUUAAUUAAUACAUCUUGAUCACUUUUGAGAGCUCUUUGGGAUGGCAUUCAUUGCUUGAAUUAGGACAACCAGGGUAGAGAAAGUUAAAACCACAGUGAAGCAUCCCAGAUUUUAAUACCUAGUUUCUAAAAUACAUUUAUCUGAGGUCUCCCCUGGGAGACAGCACAAUAUAAUGGGAAGAUUGUGGGCUCUGGAAUCAGACUUGGGUUUGAGGCCAACUCUAUAUUUUCCAAGCAGAAAUCGUGACUCUAAGCAGUUAACUGUACUACUCUAAGUUUUAUCUGUCAAAUGGAGAUUAUAGAACCUCCAUUGAAGAGUUAUUGUCACAAUGUGUAAUGAAUAAUGCAUUAAAGGACUUGACAUAGAAGCUGGCUCACCAGACGCACUCAGCAUCCACAUUUCACUGAAUCUAAGAUACCCUCAGUUGUAAUAGGCAUCAUGAUUUUAGGUAUCACUGAUAAAGGAAAAACCUAUUAAUCUGUGAUAUGCCUUUGAUGAGAUAUAAAGUAUUCUGAUUUCAGAGCUCUUCAACUAUGGAAAGAAAUACGCCUUAGAGUUGAUGAAAUACAGUGUAUUUAUUGGGCACAGAUGAUAUAGCCAAUUAUGUAGGCACCAGUGAUACAGGCAUGAACAAGAUUGACGUUUCCCCUUAAGGUGCUAGGAUCUAAUAAUUAAUACAUUUCAGAUUUUCAAAAGGAUUCAGAAUUAGCUUAGGUGGUGAACUCAUGGUUUGCAAAAAUGCCUGGGACCAAGAAGUAAAGCAGCAGAGAAAUACUAGACUUUAAUCCUCUUAUAUGUUGUUAGCUUCUAUAGCAGUUAUAUCUUCAUGCUCUGCAUACAAUCCAAAACAAAUUGUCUGCUUACAGUUAAAAUCCUGCUGAGUUUCCAAGAGUCCAGCCCCCGGGGAGCUAUUUGAACACCAUGUCUUAUCCACAAUGACGCAAUUCUACUUUUAAGGGACAAUUAAGGGGUUUCCUUGUAAGUCAGGCCAAAUUUUCUCCAAAAUACAUGAAGGAAGUGCCUAGAAAAGAAAACGUUUGAGGCUUAUUUUCAUACUGUCGCUUAAGAAAAACAAUUUCCAAAAAGGACUGAUUUUUUUUUUUAAAUUAAAUUUGGAAGGCCUGUACUUUUAUAGCCCUUUGCAGCCUUUUAGUAGAACAGAACAAAGUCCCUUAGGAAACUUAAUGUAACAGUAACCAAAUGUCCUUGUUAAGCAGCCAUUUAUUGGUCUAUUAAAUCUGAUCUGAACUAUGAUAUUUUGCGGUAAAUCUCUGCUCCAACAUAAAUUGCUCAAGACGGGCUUCUUUAGGCAUCUACCCCACAGCUUCAGCAUCAUCUCAGAAAAGACACAUGUGUUUGCAUCUUCCUAAGCAGCUCUUUGGGGAGAAGAUAUCUAAAAGGCCAUUUUCUUUGCUUCUUUUGCUUAGGAAGACAUGAAAAUGGUUUUAGAGAUAGUUCAGUCCAGUUGUUUCAUUUUACAGAUGAAGUGGGGUGUCCAAAAAUUAAUGGUUAUUAUUGUUUAGUGUAGUCCAGGUGCUGUCUUAGGUCCUGGGGAUGCAGACAUAAAUGUUUCUCUGCCCUGAGGCACUCACUAUCCCAUAAAAAUGAGUGAUCAGCAAGUAGACUAGUAAAUGCCAGGCAACGGAGGGAGCCCCCUAAAUGAGGGCUGGCAGUUGGGAGAGGGGAGGGAAACAAUCAUUGCAUUGUCAGAGCCCCCGAAGGAACCACAGGAUUCAUUCAGAGAGUUUUAAAUGAAGAGACUAAUAAAGGGACUACUUCGAGAAUGAUGGGCGCAAACAAGGGAUUUGGGGGCACCUUGAGAAUACUUUUUGGAAGCCAUUAUCUCUUCUAGAAUCGAAAGAGCAAGAGAAAGACAAAGCGUAUUAGAGUCUGAUAAGAAGUGGGGCCUUGGAGAGCAGCCUCUUGGGGGGGCUGCAGCCAGGGUCACAGCCACUGCCAGAGAAAAGGCACCCGAGAAAAGGAGGAAGCCGGGAAGAAAUGCCUCAGCCUCUCUCUGCCUAGUUUUCUCGUUUUCCACUGGCACUUCCCAUUGAGCCCAACUGAAAGCCAGUUUGCAAAUGUGGUAUAACUUGACAGAGCCGGCUUCCUGAAGCAUAGAGCUGGGCAAAGUAGGACAGAAAAUGGAUCUGGGGAGAGGGUAAAUGCAGGUUAACCAGCACAUCUGGCAUUUACACACACACAUGCACCAUUCAUUCAUUUAGCAAAGAGUUUGAAGCACCUACUAUAAAAAUAAUAGAGAUAAAAGCUGCUAGAGACCAUGUGCUUGGCGUUGGAGGUGAAAGGGUAAACUAAAUCCGUACCAUUUUUACCCUAUGGACUUCCUAGUCUAGUCUAAAAAAAGGCAAAGUAAAUAAUCCAUAAGGCAUAAUGAGUAUUUUGUUGAGAGGUCAGGAGGCUUUGGAAGUACAUGGGGGUGGAGACAUAGCUAAUCAAAUCUAAGGCCCACAGAAUAGUCCCCUGAGAAAGUGGCCUUUAGGUUGAGACUUAGGGGUGAAUAGAAGUCAGCCACCUAUAGGAGUGAGCAGCAGAGAGAGGAGUGUUCCUGGUGGAGGGAGCACAUAAGCAAAAGCCCAGAGGCAACAGUGGCUGUCAAUCACGUGGACCUUGGAGCAUGAUGGGAAAGUGUUACGAGAUGAGGCUGAAGUGGCACUCAGAACCAGAUUGUUUUGGGCCAUGUAUUUCCAGAUUUUGAUCCUAAAGGCAAUGAGAAAGGCAUCUGAAAGCUUUAAUUAGGUUUUCUCCAGGUUUGAAGGGUCACUCAGGAUAUAACUUUCUUUCAACCAUCCUGACUUAAGGGGAUAUAGCAUGGUUAUGCUCAAGAUGAGUCCUAAGAACAAUAGGAGCCCAUUAACUGAUAACAAUUAAGAAUGGUGUUCCAGGCAGAGGGAAGAGCACAUGCAAAUAUUCAGAGACAAAAGAAACAGAAGAGGUUCAGAGACAUUAAGUCAUUUAUACCAAAUGAACAUGGGUAGUGAGUGGGGAAGGUGAUGAAUGGCAGGACAGGUAAGUGAUGAUUGUGAGUUAUCACUCCUAUUAUCCUGUGCAUCCUGAACUUCCAGUCCAUCAGCCCUCUUCCCAUCACUAGAGCACAUGCUUUUAUUUCUCAUAUGGCACAUACCUGGUGUUGGAAUUGCUGAGCCCAGGGGUAGACAUAUGUUUCAGCAUUAAUAAUAGUUCCCCUCUCUGUCUUUGCUUGUGUUGAUUCCACUGUCAAGAAUCCCCUUUUCCACCAUCUGUUUAAGGAAACUGCUCGAUAGCAGUUGCAGAAACUGCAUAUUAAGAGUGCCAGGGCAAGAGAAGAGAAUGGCCAGCAGGUAGUAGCCAAAGUUGGAGAGGGAAUGGGGAAACAGCAGGAGUGGGCCUCGAAAUGCAGAACAAGUACCAAAAGUGGUGACAGUCAUUUCAAAAUGGAAUCUGUGAAAUAAGGAGUUCAUAGGAGCAAGUUAGUUUUAAAUCACCAUAUCCAGCCUUCUUUGGGGUUGUUUUAUGCUCUCCUUAAAGCUGCAAAUCUCUGUGCUUGUUGGCUGACCUAAAUGCUUUUGUUCUUUCCGUUUAAUAUUCAGUAACAUCUAAACAUAGUUUUCUUCAUUAAAUGGUGUUCCAGGCUCUCUUGCAGUCUGGUGAUCGAAAUGUAAACUGGUACAAACUCUUUCAAAGAAAUUGUGUGAUGUUGUCUGGAGAACCUUUAAGAUCAAUAUUCUUUAAUCCAGGACUUUCAGGGAAAUCUACUCAGUGUUCUGUAGUACCUUAUAUGGAAAAAGAAUCUGAGAAAGAAUGUGUAUAUGUAUAUUAUAAUGAUUCACUUUGCUGUGCACCUGAAGACAACACAACAUUGUAGGUCAACUAUACUCCAGUAAUAAAAAAAAAAAUACUGAAAUUGACAGACUGAAUAAAGCAGAUUUCCCUUGCUAAUGUGGUGGGCCUCAUUCAGUUAGUUGAAGGGCUGAACAAAACAAAAGCCUGACUUUCUCCUAAAUAACACAUUCCUGCUGCCUGACUAUUUUUGAGCUAGAACGUUGUUUUUUUUUCUCUGCCUUUGGACUCAAACUGAAAAAUCUCCUCUUCCCUCUUCCUGGGUCUCAAGCCUAUUGGUAUUAAGGCUGGGCCUGCACCAUUGGCUUUACCAAGGCUCCAAUUUGCUAACUGAAGAUCUUGGAACUUGGGCUACCAUAAUUUCAUGAGCAAAUUCCU
RNAcentral lists this long non-coding RNA (4755 nucleotides) under Sus scrofa (pig). RNAcentral describes it as "lncRNA (ENSSSCG00000041038.1)". Lineage: Eukaryota; Metazoa; Chordata; Mammalia; Artiodactyla; Suidae. The record is from RNAcentral.